This 775-nucleotide ribosomal RNA is filed under the name uncultured Neocallimastigales. Its description in RNAcentral is "partial large subunit ribosomal RNA". It matches the Rfam family "Eukaryotic large subunit ribosomal RNA", at positions 23 to 647 of the family's 3401-position model. The record is from RNAcentral. Lineage: Eukaryota; Fungi; Neocallimastigomycota; Neocallimastigomycetes; Neocallimastigales.
AGAGAGAGACAUGCGCGCAUAUCAAUAAGCGGAGGAAAAGAAACUAACAAGGAUUCCCCUAGUAACGGCGAGUGAAGCGGGAAGAGCUCAAAUUUGAAAUCUUAAAGGGUUUCCCUUUACGAAUUGUAGUUUAAAGAAGUGUUUUCUGUUGAGGUUUUGGUAAAAGUUCUUUGGAAUAGGACAUCAUAGAGGGUGAGAAUCCCGUAUUUGACCUUUACUUUCAACUUUGUGAUACACUUUCAAAGAGUCGGAUUGUUUGGGAAUGCAGUCCAAAAUGGGUGGUAAAUUUCAUCUAAAGCUAAAUAUUGGCGAGAGACCGAUAGCGAACAAGUACCGUGAGGGAAAGAUGAAAAGAACUUUGAAAAGAGAGUUAAACAGUACGUGAAAUUGUCAAAAGGGAAGCGUUUGACACCAGUGUUGUUUUUCUGAAAAUCAAUUAAAGAACUGUUUAUGCUAAGCUGUUUAGACUUUAUCAGCUAAUCUGUUUAGUUUUGAGCUUUUCUUUAAUGCACUUUUCAGUUAACAAGUCAACAUCAAUUUCUUUUGCUGUAAAAAAGCUUGAGGAAGGUGGCUUGAGAUUCGUCUUAAGUGUUUAUAGCCUCUUGCCUAUGCAGUCGGAGAGAUUGAGGUCUGCAGCGUAGAUCCUUCGGGGCUAAAUGCAUUUGUGCUAAGUUAUAGCAUUUUAUAGACAACUUGUUGACUAUGAUUUGUCUUGUAGCUUACUCGCUUAUGUUAUUUUACCUACGCUUAGGAUGUUGACGCAUGAGAUAUACGC